UUUUGUUUUCGAUUUUCAACCAAAAGAUCCUGAAAAUAUAUAUACAGCACUUGAAGUUCUAUCUGGUAGAGCAAUACCUGGAACUAUUCUUGUAAGAAAGUUGACAAAACUGCCAAGAAACAAAUGUUGGCUUGUUGGAUCUUCCAAUUCAGAUGCUAUUGAUGUAGCAAUUAAUUUCAACCAAAAUUGGGAAACUGAUUUGAGAGUUGGCCAUCAUGACUGUCGAGAUUAUACUAAUGGAUUGGUUGAGCAUCUCACUGGCAAAAAAUAUGUGU
This is a long non-coding RNA of Pistacia vera, 275 nucleotides long. RefSeq lists it as uncharacterized. The transcript has 3 exons. The record is from RefSeq and is a predicted model, not a curated record. Lineage: Eukaryota; Viridiplantae; Streptophyta; Magnoliopsida; Sapindales; Anacardiaceae.